GCGAACGCUGGCGGCAGGCCUAAUACAUGCAAGUCGAACGGCUUCUUCGGAAGCAGUGGCGGACGGGUGAGUAACGCGUGGGAACGUGCCCUUUGGUACGGAACAACUGAGGGGAACUUCAGCUAAUACCGUAUGUGCCCUUCGGGGGAAAGAUUUAUCGCCAUUGGAGCGGCCCGCGUUAGAUUAGCUAGUUGGUGGGGUAAAGGCCUACCAAGGCAACGAUCUAUAGCUGGUCUGAGAGGAUGAUCAGCCACACUGGGACUGAGACGCGGCCCAGACUCCUACGGGAGGCAGCAGUAGGGAAUCUUGCGCAAUGGGCGAAAGCCUGACGCAGCCAUGCCGCGUGAAUGAUGAAGGUCUUAGGAUUGUAAAAUUCUUUCACCGGGGACGAUAAUGACGGUACCCGGAGAAGAAGCUCCGGCUAACUUCGUGCCAGCAGCCGCGGUAA
Molecule: ribosomal RNA, 448 nt
Filed under: uncultured bacterium
Lineage: Bacteria
Description: partial 16S ribosomal RNA
Rfam family: Bacterial small subunit ribosomal RNA
Source: RNAcentral